CUGAUCCCUUCCCGAACUCAGAAGUGAAACCUCUUAGCGCUGAUGGUAGUGUGGGGUUACCCAUGUGAGAGUAAGUCAUCGCCAGCU
RNAcentral lists this ribosomal RNA (87 nucleotides) under Acinetobacter lwoffii. Lineage: Bacteria; Pseudomonadati; Pseudomonadota; Gammaproteobacteria; Moraxellales; Moraxellaceae. RNAcentral also lists the same sequence under 9 other names. The record is from RNAcentral.